Molecule: ribosomal RNA, 252 nt
Filed under: uncultured bacterium
Lineage: Bacteria
Description: partial 16S ribosomal RNA
Rfam family: Bacterial small subunit ribosomal RNA
Source: RNAcentral
UACGUAGGCCCCGAGCGUUGUCCGGAUUUAUUGGGCGUAAAGCGAGCGCAGGUGGUUUAUUAAGUCUGGUGUAUAAGGCAGUGGCUCAACCAUUGUAUGCAUUGGAAACUGGUAGACUUGAGUGCAGGAGAGGAGAGUGGAAUUCCAUGUGUAGCGGUGAAAUGCGUAGAUAUAUGGAGGAACACCGGUGGCGAAAGCGGCUCUCUGGCCUGUAACUGACACUGAGGCUCGAAAGCGUGGGGAGCAAACAGG